GCAGUCGAGCGGCAGCACAAGGGAGUUUACUUCUGAGGUGGCGAGCGGCGGACGGGUGAGUAAUGCCUAGGGAUCUGCCCAGUCGAGGGGGAUAACAGUUGGAAACGACUGCUAAUACCGCAUACGCCCUACGGGGGAAAGAGGGGGACCUUCGGGCCUCUCGCGAUUGGAUGAACCUAGGUGGGAUUAGCUAGUUGGUGAGGUAAUGGCUCACCAAGGCGACGAUCCCUAGCUGUUCUGAGAGGAUGAUCAGCCACACUGGGACUGAGACACGGCCCAGACUCCUACGGGAGGCAGCAGUGGGGAAUAUUGCACAAUGGGGGAAACCCUGAUGCAGCCAUGCCGCGUGUGUGAAGAAGGCCUUCGGGUUGUAAAGCACUUUCAGUAGGGAGGAAAGGUAGCAGUUUAAUAAACUGUUGCUGUGACGUUACCUACAGAAGAAGGACCGGCUAACUCCGUGCCAGCAGCCGCGGUAAUACGGAGGGUCCGAGCGUUAAUCGGAAUUACUGGGCGUAAAGCGUGCGCAGGCGGUUUGUUAAGCGAGAUGUGAAAGCCCUGGGCUCAACCUAGGAAUAGCAUUUCGAACUGGCGAACUAGAGUCUUGUAGAGGGGGGUAGAAUUCCAGUGUAGCGGUGAAAUGCGUAGAGAUCUGGAGGAAUACCGGUGGCGGAAGCGGCCCCCUGGACAAAGACUGACGCUCAUGCACGAAAGCGUGGGGAGCAAACAGAUUAGAUACCCUGGUAGUCCACGCCGUAACGAUGUCUACUCGGAGUUUGGUGUCUUGAACACUGGGCUCUCAGCUAACGC
Molecule: ribosomal RNA, 807 nt
Filed under: Shewanella putrefaciens
Lineage: Bacteria; Pseudomonadati; Pseudomonadota; Gammaproteobacteria; Alteromonadales; Shewanellaceae
Description: bacterial SSU rRNA
Rfam family: Bacterial small subunit ribosomal RNA
Source: RNAcentral